RNAcentral lists this transfer RNA (88 nucleotides) under Actinomadura sp. DC4. RNAcentral describes it as "tRNA-Arg". Lineage: Bacteria; Bacillati; Actinomycetota; Actinomycetes; Streptosporangiales; Thermomonosporaceae. The record is from RNAcentral.
GCCCGGCCGCAGGUCAAGUCAUGAUCGGACUGAAAGACAGCACCGGCCUCCGGAGCCGGGUGCGCUGGUUCGAAUCCAGCAGGGGGCG